RNAcentral lists this ribosomal RNA (274 nucleotides) under uncultured bacterium. RNAcentral's name for it is "partial 16S ribosomal RNA". It matches the Rfam family "Bacterial small subunit ribosomal RNA", at positions 523 to 796 of the family's 1533-position model. The record is from RNAcentral.
AUACGAAGGGGGCUAGCGUUGUUCGGAUUUACUGGGCGUAAAGCGCACGUAGGCGGAUUGAUCAGUUAGGGGUGAAAUCCCGAGGCUCAACCUCGGAACUGCCUUUAAUACUGUCAGUCUAGAGACCGGAAGAGGUGAGUGGAACUCCUAGUGUAGAGGUGGAAUUCGUAGAUAUUAGGAAGAACACCAGUGGCGAAGGCGGCUCACUGGUCCGGUACUGACGCUGAGGUGCGAAAGCGUGGGGAGCGAACAGGAUUAGAAACCCUAGUAGUCC